AUGAAACUUGGGAGAAUUGAUGCUAGAACUUGUUCUAUGCGCUUUUCCCUUAAUCCAUACACACCUGUGCACUUUGAAAGGAGAGAACGGCUUUUAACGGCUGGUCUGUCCUUUCUCAUACAAACCCUUCACAAAUAUCAACCUAUAUCUUUAACAACAUUCGUCUGAUAACAUAUUAUGAAUAUACUUAAUUCAAAAUA
Molecule: unclassified non-coding RNA, 200 nt
Filed under: uncultured Cantharellales
Lineage: Eukaryota; Fungi; Basidiomycota; Agaricomycetes; Cantharellales
Description: sequence contains ITS1
Source: RNAcentral